UUCAGUCAAGGUUCCCUGCCUGGCUUUAAACCCUGCUUUGUCUGGGAUUUCUGGGUUCCCUGAGCUCCCUGGGUGCCCUGCCUCCUCUAUCCUCUCUGCCUCUUCUGGCUGCCCUGGCUGGCUUCCCCAGUCUCCCUCCUGGCUUCCCUGGCACCCCUUCUUCCCAGGCUCCCUGGGCUCCCUGGCUCCUCCUUGCCUUCCUUCCUGGUCCCUGGGUGCUGCUCUGCCUCCCCAGGCUUCUCCGCCUCCUCUGUCUGCCCUGGAUUGCCUCCCUGAUGUCCUUGCUUCCCGGGCCCCCUUCCUUCCCUGGCUGCUUGCCUUCCUCUGUGCUCCUGGCCUGGCUGCCAGCCUCCUUGCCUUCACCCAGGGGCAUCAGCACAGGCCACCCUCCCUCCUAGUCCUCACUGUCCACGUGGCCAUCCCAUUUUGGUGAUUCUCCCAUCCAGAGUUCUGUGGAGUACACCCUGCUGAUCCCCACACGCUGAUGGCUCUCUGCCCUCUCAGCCCUAAUCCCUAAUCAGCCCCAUAUUCUUUUCCACUUUUUUAAAAUGAAAAUCCUGGGGGCUGGGUGUUUAACUCAGCGGCAUAAACACCUGCCUUGCAAGCAGGGGGUCCUGAAUUCGAUCCCCGGUACAGAUAAAAAUGAAAAAGACCAAGAAAAAAAAAUGAAAUGAAAACCCUGCCUCUGAAAUCCUGAGUCCACCCCAUAAUGCCAUCCUCCUCCUCAGCCAAUGAGCGAGCCAGGAAGUGAGUGAAGGGAAAGGGGACUUCCGGGACACCAGGGUGGUGCCACAGGAGGAGAUGAAAGGAUUAGGGGCCAGGUUGAUGGGAUCUGCAGCCAGCAUGGAGGGAUUAGCUGGGCUGCACGGGCGUGGCCAGAUCUUGGGCUCCUGGGCUCCAGGGUUUCCCAUGCAUUCUCCCUGACUGACCUCAAGCCUUAACAAGCUCAGGCACCAGACACCAUGCAGCAGGAGUUAACCAGCCCACACAGCCAGACCUCUGGCUGGCCCUCCAGAGCUCCCCUUCCCUGCUUUCUCUCUCCAUUCCCCUCCAGGUUCCCAGGACCCCUCUUGCUGGCCCAGCUCCUGGCUCCCAGCUCUCCCAGGAGCUCUGCCUGCUUGCCUGGCUACCUGCCUGACUUCAGGGACCCCAUGACAAUGCGGACCAAGAAGAGAUGGGGACAACAGCCAUCUGCCAUGCAUCGAGUGAGGUUCCUGGGACUUGGCACUCCCAGCUCCUGGAUCCUGGCUCACCAUGCAUCUCCUCCCUCCUGCCAGCCUGCCUGCCCUCCAGGACCCCGUGAUGAUGCGGGCCACGAUGAGUUGAGGCGGACAACAGCUGUCCACCAGACAGCCAGCAAGGUUCCUGGAACCCAGCUCUCUGGGCUCAGGGCUCUGGCCCCCCCAGCUGCAGCCUCCCAGCUCCAAGCUGCCGGCUCUGCUGGAAGCUCCUACCUGCCUGCCUGCCUGACUGCCUGCUGGCCUUCCUGCCUUCCAGGACCCCACGACGAUGAGCAAGAGGAGAUGAGGGGGACCACAGCCAUCCAGCACACACCACAGCACAGCCAGAUGACCACCUGGGCUGGCUGUUGGUGUAGACCAUGAGCAUCUAUAGGCUCAGAUCCCAGAGCAUAUACUUUGUGCAGGGAAGGUUUCCCACGUGGCACUGCGGCUUAGGUCGGAGACUGGAGGCCACUGGGUUCCAUACCAAUCUCUGAUGGCUGCUGCUGGACACCAGUACCCUCUGAGGUGGUGCCAGGACCCUCGGAUGGCUAUAGAUAUGUAUCCUGCCCGUUUCUACUGUGCACGUGUGUGUGAGUGUGUGGGGGAUGCCUUGCCCCAGCAGGGCCCUCCUACAUGUUCGGGCCAAGGGGUCAGGAGAUUCGUAAGGAAGGCUAUGACCAAGGAAGGAGGCCAUCGGGGAGCACCAGGGGGCACCCGCACAGCUGACACACAAAUGGACGUGAGGGUCACAUGGACUGGUUCACCUGUCUGUGGCAAGUGAAGACAGAAGAACUGUACCGACACACAGAUGGGCACAUUUUCCUGGGGCCCAUGUCUUCGAGGAACCUGCAGCCUUGUCACCCUCUGUCUAUCUGUCUGAUCAGAAGGGAGUUACCUUGUUACCUGCCACCAAGGGUGCCAUAGCAAGCGGUGGCUGUGUCUGAUGACAGACAGGAGAGAGGUGGUGCCACGUGUUGUUGGCUGUCUCUGUCUUUGGGCUGCAUGUAGGGGAACUCAGGGUUGUGUGUGUAUAGGGCUGGGUCAGCAUCCAGUGUGUGCCAGGACUGGCCUGGGUCCUUCUGAGAGCAGGCACAGCCCCUGGAAUGAAUUCCUGCUGUUGGUCUUGCCUGCCUCCAUGGGGCCUCCAAUGUUGGGGUCUUUUCCCCCUACCCUUACCUUCAUCCUGGGCUCUGCAUAGAUCCUUCAGGCUCAUACGAUGGUCUGCAUCAUGCCCACUAGCUACCCUCCAGGGCUAACAAUGGAAGGUUGUUGGGGUCACAGAGCAGCCUGAUAUUGGCUCCUCCUCUGAGGUUGAGGAAAGAGCAGUGCCAGUACCCUCUAAAGGGACUGAAUCUCUCUGUAGAGCACAGCCUAGUGUGACCCAUAUAGUUCCACCCUCCAACUGGGAGGGGGACUGAAGACCUCUAGUUCUGAUGAGCCCACCCAUCACUGAUGAAUGUCAGAUUCUAAUUAAGUCACUUCCAGCAGGACUUCUAGAGCCAGGAGGUGGUUGUUGAGGAUUUGGGGAGCAGUGUAUUAAGUUGCGGGAGUGGCCCUGGGGGGGUUCAUGUUAGGUCUACCAGAGGGGUGAGGGUUAGAGAUCUGCUGGGAUUAGGGAGCCAGUGGCUUAGAGAAGCCCCUAUUCACAUGAACCCCCACCUCCUACUCCAUCCCCCACCCACCACAAAGGAAUGCCAGUUUAGAUGCUGGAUUAGAAUCAACCCCACCCUAGAGGAAGUUGCUGUGUUGUACCAAAAAGCAACUUGACAGUCUAGUUGAAUUGUUCCCCAUGGAAAAAUUUAUUGCAUUUCUCUUUUCCUAACGUAGCAUCCUGAAACAUGGAGAAAUCACUGGCUCACCUUAAAAGUCCCAUCAGAGCAGCAAAAGGAGCCAGCCAGCAGGGUGAACCACGCCCCUUCCCCAGGCCUGCCUCACACAGGAGACAAAAAUCAGCCCUCUUACUUCACCAAAGGAGGCGGGAGGAGAAAGGUGUCUGUCUGUCUGUCUGAUGCUGAGUGAAAAUCCAUGUCAACCUCUAGCUGAAUGUCAUUUCCAGUGGGAUACCUGUCUGCCUGUUUGGUUUGGUGGUUCUCAGAUCCAGAGAUCCGUGAAAAAACACAGAAAGAGUGUUCAGGCUUGGCUCCCUGGCUCCCAGCCUCCUGCGCUCACACUGGGCACUGAUGAGUGCAGGUUCACAACACAAACAUGCUCCCCCCGCAUCCACCCACACCCCAACUCUAACAACCCACACAGAUGUCCUGAUCAUCACCUAUAAAACUGGCAUAUGAAGCUCAGCUCGGCUCAGCACUGCACUGCUCUGCUUCACUUGGCUCUGCUCAGCUGGGCUCCAUAAACCCCACAUGUGUCUGUCUAUCCAUUUGCCCCCUGAUUGGACUGACUCCUAGAUCAUCAUCCAUGAACCCACUUGGGACCCGUUUCUCUCUGUUUGCUCUCUCUCUCUCUCUCUCUCUCUCUCUCUCUCUCUCUCUCUCUCUCUCUCUCUCUGCUUUUUGUCGUGCAAGGGGCCUUGCUUUUAGCUGUCUCUCAGCUGUCCUUGUGGCCCUAUGCCUUUUUUCACUCUCUCCUCCCUGCUUUUUCUCAGACCCUAACACCACACACACCCUUAUGCCUUGAUCUUCACCCGAGAGCCUAACACUCAGGGCUCAGCUGAGCUCUGCUGAUGGAUCCCAGAUCUACCUACUCCUCUUCCUGCCUGUCUGCUGGGAUUCCCACAUCUGUCCUACACAAACACCUUUGGAUCCUCUCUCCGAUCCCUCCCUGUUUUCAUCCCCAGUCCUGUCCCUUUUACCACCCAUCUGCACACUCUCUGUACCUUUCUCUGAGCCCUUAGACUCUUUCUGCCUCACUCUCUCUGUCUGUCUCUCUGUCUCUGUCACUGUCUCUGUCUCUGUCUGUUUCUCUGUCUUUCUCUGUCUCUGCUUUCCUCUGGCCUUUGCCUAGUUUGGGUUCUCUCUGGUUUUGUUUGCAGGGGGAGGAGCUGCAGUCUUUUUUCACUCUCUCGGGUUUUCUCCCUCCCUGGGCUGCUUUCAGUCUCUCUCUGCUUUCUUACCUUCCCCUGGGCUUUUUGGGGCUGGGUCUCAGUUGUUUGUGCAGCCUCACCCAUGUCUCUGUUAACUGGGGCCUUCCCCACUCUUUUACAGACCGUAACAUCACACAGACACACACACACACACACACACACACACACACACACACACACACACACAUACACACACACACACCUAUGCCCUGAUCAUCAACCAUGAGCCUAACACACACAGCAGCUCAGCUCAGCUCAGCUCAGUGGAUUCUAAUCUAAGCCUCUGCCUGGGUCUUGCUGCUGGGAUUGCCCUGUCUGUCUUCAGUCCCUUUGCCUCUUUUGGAUCCCUCCCUCCAUCCCUCAUUCCCCAGUUUAUCCCCCCCCCUCCUUUCCCAUUUACCACUGGCUGGGCUGUCCCCUCUGUGCUAUUCUCCGGGGGGCCCUUUAACUCUUUGGACAUCUCUGUCUCUGGCUGUUUCUCCAUCUCUGUCUCUGUCUCUUUCUUUGCUUUUCUCAGGACCUCUGCUCUUUGAAGUUUUACAUUCUUGCCUUUUGGCUCUGGGCUCUGUGCUCUGGUUUCUGUGCUGUGGUCUCUGGGCUCUUGGAGGCUGGGCACAGAGUGGAGGGGACUGAGUGAGUGAGUGGGCUGCCUGGGAGUGGCAGACAGGAUGCAGGGAGUGGAGUAGGGUGGCAACAGGGUGUUGGUUCCGGAGGCUUAGCUAGAGGAGUGCUGGAUUAGGGCAGGCCAGUGGACCCCAGGCAGCUAGGGUUAGGAUGGCCUGGGUUAGAAUUAGCGCAGGGUUGCAGUUUAGCCAGCCUCUGGGCUUAACAGGCAGGGAUUUAGGGAGGCAAUGGGCUGCCACGCCCCAGCAGCCAUGCCACACCCCAGGCUGGAUUGGAUCUGCUGUGGGUUCAUGCACCAUGAAUUCCACAGCCUAGGUGAAAUUUUCCAAGUGGGAAAAGUCUGUCUGCUGACUGAACAUCGAAUUCUCCGAGGCUUUCCUGCUUCCUCUCAGCAUCCAAGGCCUCCGAGGUUCUCCUGUGUCCCUGAGUCCCUGGCUCUCUGAUUUCCAAGAUUGGGCAGAGUUCAGUCAAGGUUCCCUGCCUGGCUUUAAACCCUGCUUUGUCUGGGAUUUCUGGGUUCCCUGAGCUCCCUGGGUGCCCUGCCUCCUCUAUCCUCUCUGCCUCUUCUGGCUGCCCUGGCUGGCUUCCCCAGUCUCCCUCCUGGCUUCCCUGGCACCCCUUCUUCCCAGGCUCCCUGGGCUCCCUGGCUCCUCCUUGCCUUCCUUCCUGGUCCCUGGGUGCUGCUCUGCCUCCCCAGGCUUCUCCGCCUCCUCUGUCUGCCCUGGAUUGCCUCCCUGAUGUCCUUGCUUCCCGGGCCCCCUUCCUUCCCUGGCUGCUUGCCUUCCUCUGUGCUCCUGGCCUGGCUGCCAGCCUCCUUGCCUUCACCCAGGGGCAUCAGCACAGGCCACCCUCCCUCCUAGUCCUCACUGUCCACGUGGCCAUCCCAUUUUGGUGAUUCUCCCAUCCAGAGUUCUGUGGAGUACACCCUGCUGAUCCCCACACGCUGAUGGCUCUCUGCCCUCUCAGCCCUAAUCCCUAAUCAGCCCCAUAUUCUUUUCCACUUUUUUAAAAUGAAAAUCCUGGGGGCUGGGUGUUUAACUCAGCGGCAUAAACACCUGCCUUGCAAGCAGGGGGUCCUGAAUUCGAUCCCCGGUACAGAUAAAAAUGAAAAAGACCAAGAAAAAAAAAUGAAAUGAAAACCCUGCCUCUGAAAUCCUGAGUCCACCCCAUAAUGCCAUCCUCCUCCUCAGCCAAUGAGCGAGCCAGGAAGUGAGUGAAGGGAAAGGGGACUUCCGGGACACCAGGGUGGUGCCACAGGAGGAGAUGAAAGGAUUAGGGGCCAGGUUGAUGGGAUCUGCAGCCAGCAUGGAGGGAUUAGCUGGGCUGCACGGGCGUGGCCAGAUCUUGGGCUCCUGGGCUCCAGGGUUUCCCAUGCAUUCUCCCUGACUGACCUCAAGCCUUAACAAGCUCAGGCACCAGACACCAUGCAGCAGGAGUUAACCAGCCCACACAGCCAGACCUCUGGCUGGCCCUCCAGAGCUCCCCUUCCCUGCUUUCUCUCUCCAUUCCCCUCCAGGUUCCCAGGACCCCUCUUGCUGGCCCAGCUCCUGGCUCCCAGCUCUCCCAGGAGCUCUGCCUGCUUGCCUGGCUACCUGCCUGACUUCAGGGACCCCAUGACAAUGCGGACCAAGAAGAGAUGGGGACAACAGCCAUCUGCCAUGCAUCGAGUGAGGUUCCUGGGACUUGGCACUCCCAGCUCCUGGAUCCUGGCUCACCAUGCA
Molecule: long non-coding RNA, 6608 nt
Organism: Cavia porcellus (domestic guinea pig)
Lineage: Eukaryota; Metazoa; Chordata; Mammalia; Rodentia; Caviidae
Exons: 5
Source: RefSeq, a predicted model, not a curated record